UCGUAUAGAAGAAGGAGAAGAAGAAGAAGACAUACCUUACUUACAUGGUGUUCUUUUUUUUUUUUUUUUUUU
RNAcentral lists this non-coding RNA (72 nucleotides) under Heterosigma akashiwo. The record is from RNAcentral. Lineage: Eukaryota; Raphidophyceae; Chattonellales; Chattonellaceae.